CAGUACCGCGGUAAUACGUAGGGUGCGAGCGUUAAUCGGAAUUACUGGGCGUAAAGCGUGCGCAGGCGGUUAUAUAAGACAGAUGUGAAAUCCCCGGGCUCAACCUGGGACCUGCAUUUGUGACUGUAUAGCUAGAGUACGGUAGAGGGGGAUGGAAUUCCGCGUGUAGCAGUGAAAUGCGUAGAUAUGCGGAGGAACACCGAUGGCGAAGGCAAUCCCCUGGACCUGUACUGACGCUCAUGCACGAAAGCGUGGGGAGCAAACAGGAUUAGAUACCCCAGUAGUCCCUGUCUCUUAUACC
RNAcentral lists this ribosomal RNA (301 nucleotides) under uncultured bacterium. RNAcentral describes it as "partial 16S ribosomal RNA". It matches the Rfam family "Bacterial small subunit ribosomal RNA", at positions 509 to 808 of the family's 1533-position model. The record is from RNAcentral.